Molecule: ribosomal RNA, 688 nt
Filed under: uncultured bacterium
Lineage: Bacteria
Description: bacterial SSU rRNA
Rfam family: Bacterial small subunit ribosomal RNA
Source: RNAcentral
UAUACUGCUCCACACCAGGCGACGAUCGAAUGUUGUCGAGACGCCACCAAUGGGAAUUGAGACUCGCCCAGCCUCCUACGGAGGCAGCAGUAGGAAUAUUGCACCAUGGAGGAAACUCUGAUGCAGCGACGCCGCGUGAGUGAUGAAGCUCGGUGUAAAGCUCUGUUCUCAGGAAAAAGAAAGUGAUGUACUGAGAGAAAGGACGGCUAACUCGUGCCAGCAGCCGCGGUAAGACGAGGGGUGCAGCGUGUUCGGAAUUAUUGGGCGUAAAGCGGGUGUAGGUGGAUCUAUAAGUCAGGAGUGAAAGCCCCGAGCUUAACUUGGGAAGUGCUUUUGAUACUGUAGAUCUUGAAUGUGGGAGAGGAUCGUGGAAUUCCAGGUGUAGUGGUGAAAUACGUAGAUAUCUGGAGGAACACCGGUGGCGAAGGCGGCGAUCUGGCCCAACAUUGACACUGAGACCCGAAAGCAUGGGGAUCAAACAGGAUUAGAUACCCUGGUAGUCCAUGCCAUAAACGAUGAUCACUUGGUGUUGGAGGUAUUGACCCCUUCAGUGCCGAAGCUAACGCGUUAAGUGAUCCGCCUGGGGAGUACGGCCGCAAGGUUAAAACUCAAAGAAAUUGACGGGGGCCCGCACAAGUGGUGGAGCAUGUGGUUUAAUUCGAUGCAACGCGAAAAACCUUACCUACAC